GACGAACGCUGGCGGCGUGCUUAACACAUGCAAGUCGAACGGAAAGGCCCUGCUUUUGUGGGGUGCUCGAGUGACGAACGGGUGAGUAACACGUGAGUAACCUGCCCUUGACUUUGGGAUAACUUCAGGAAACUGGGGCUAAUACCGGAUAGGAGCUCCUGCUGCAUGGUGGGGGUUGGAAAGUUUCGGCGGUUGGGGAUGGACUCGCGGCUUAUCAGCUUGUUGGUGGGGUAGUGGCUUACCAAGGCUUUGACGGGUAGCCGGCCUGAGAGGGUGACCGGCCACAUUGGGACUGAGAUACGGCCCAGACUCCUACGGGAGGCAGCAGUGGGGAAUAUUGCACAAUGGGCGGAAGCCUGAUGCAGCAACGCCGCGUGCGGGAUGACGGCCUUCGGGUUGUAAACCGCUUUCGCCUGUGACGAAGCGUGAGUGACGGUAAUGGGUAAAGAAGCACCGGCUAACUACGUGCCGGCAGCCGCGGUGAUACGUAGGGUGCGAGCGUUGUCCGGAUUUAUUGGGCGUAAAGGGCUCGUAGGUGGUUGAUCGCGUCGGAAGUGUAAUCUUGGGGCUUAACCCUGGGCGUGCUUUCGAUACGGGUUGACUUGAGGAGGGUAGGGGAGAAUGGAAUUCCUGGUGGAGCGGUGGAAUGCGCAGAUAUCAGGAGGAACACCAGUGGCGAAGGCGGUUCUCUGGGCCUUUCCUGACGCUGAGGAGCGAAAGCGUGGGGAGCGAACAGGCUUAGAUACCCUGGUAGUCCACGCUGUAAACGGUGGGUACUAGGUGUGGGGUCCAUUCCACGGGUUCCGUGCCGUAGCUAACGCUUUAAGUACCCCGCCUGGGGAGUACGGCCGCAAGGCUAAAACUCAAAGGAAUUGACGGGGCCCCGCACAAGCGGCGGAGCAUGCGGAUUAAUUCGAUGCAACGCGUAGAACCUUACCUGGGUUUGACAUGGAUCGGGAGUGCUCAGAGAUGGGUGUGCCUCUUUUGGGGUCGGUUCACAGGUGGUGCAUGGCUGUCGUCAGCUCGUGUCGUGAGAUGUUGGGUUAAGUCCCGCAACGAGCGCAACCCUUGUUCACUGUUGCCAGCACGUUAUGGUGGGGACUCAGUGGAGACCGCCGGGGUCAACUCGGAGGAAGGUGGGGAUGACGUCAAGUCAUCAUGCCCCUUAUGUCCAGGGCUUCACGCAUGCUACAAUGGCUGGUACAGAGAGUGGCGAGCCUGUGAGGGUGAGCGAAUCUCGGAAAGCCGGUCUCAGUUCGGAUUGGGGUCUGCAACUCGACCUCAUGAAGUCGGAGUCGCUAGUAAUCGCAGAUCAGCAACGCUGCGGUGAAUACGUUCCCGGG
RNAcentral lists this ribosomal RNA (1343 nucleotides) under uncultured bacterium. Its description in RNAcentral is "16S ribosomal RNA". It matches the Rfam family "Bacterial small subunit ribosomal RNA", at positions 28 to 1378 of the family's 1533-position model. The record is from RNAcentral.